This 465-nucleotide ribosomal RNA is filed under the name uncultured bacterium. RNAcentral describes it as "partial 16S ribosomal RNA". It matches the Rfam family "Bacterial small subunit ribosomal RNA", at positions 28 to 507 of the family's 1533-position model. The record is from RNAcentral.
GACGAACGCUGGCGGCGUGCUUAACACAUGCAAGUCGAACGGAAAGGCCCUGCUUGCCGGGUACUCGAGUGGCGAACGGGUGAGUAACACGUGGGUGAUCUGCCCUGCACUUCGGGAUAAGCCUGGGAAACUGGGUCUAAUACCGGAUAGGAGCCAUUUUUAGUGUGAUGGUUGGAAAGUUUUUUCGGUGUAGGAUGAGCUCGCGGCCUAUCAGCUUGUUGGUGGGGUAAUGGCCUACCAAGGCGGCGACGGGUAGCCGGCCUGAGAGGGUGGACGGCCACAUUGGGACUGAGAGACGGCCCAGACUCCUACGGGAGGCAGCAGUGGGGAAUAUUGCACAAGGGGCGCAAGCCUGAUGCAGCGACGCCGCGGGGGGGAUGACGGCCUUCGGGUUGUAAACUCCUUUCGCUAGGGACGAAGCUUUUUGUGACGGUACCUAGAGAAGAAGCACCGGCUAACUACGUG